CGGAACACGUACACAACUUUCCUUUAAGUGGGGGAUAGCCCAGAGAAAUUUGGAUUAAUACCCCGUAACAUUAUGAGAUGGCAUCAUUUUAUAAUUAAAGCUCCGGCGCUUAGAGAUGGCUGUGCGGCUGAUUAGGUAGUUGGCGGGGUAAUAGCCCACCAAGCCUGCGAUCAGUAACUGGUGUGAGAGCACGACCAGUCACACGGGCACUGAGACACGGGCCCG
This 225-nucleotide ribosomal RNA is filed under the name uncultured bacterium. RNAcentral describes it as "partial 16S ribosomal RNA". It matches the Rfam family "Bacterial small subunit ribosomal RNA", at positions 109 to 334 of the family's 1533-position model. The record is from RNAcentral.